UUUCCAUAUGCUAUUACUAAUUAAAUAACCUAAAAGAAUUGUCACACAUUCAUGUACAACAAGAUAUCAUUCAAGAUUUUUCCUUCCACCGGAUAAAACAAAGCGGAGAAACAAAACCCUAAGAAUAGAGUACGUGCAAAAUUACAUGCUUAAUUAAUUAUGGCAGUUUAAGAUACAACUUGGUUAAACAGAUGGAAAAAAGUGAUUCACCAACACCAAACACACCUUUGAAUGCAUGCAGGUCCAUCAAGGAGCCAAAAGACUUCAAAGAUCACUUUAAAUAGACCUGUAUCAGUUGCUCCUUCCUUCAACAAGACCACCCAAACUAAGCACAAAGGCACCUGCAGCAAGCCGUCUCCCCCAAGAGAAUCCUCUAUCAGUUCAAGCCAAAGCCGAUAUUGGUUCAUAAGGGUAUGACAGCCAUGGAUGCUUUAGAGCCUCUGAUGCAGAAGGGCGCUUCUUUGGAUUUACUUCAAGCAAAUAAGCUACAAAAUCGAUGAAACCUUGAUCCCCCAUUGGCAAUCGGUGCCUUAAAGAUGUCUUUUUUGGUAUCAAGUAUUCCAGUCUAUUGGUGUCCUGAUUCCUCUCAUAAAGCAUGUGAUUUUUGGUAAAAUACUUGUAGGUGUCUCGUCCUUUAGCCAGCAUAACUUGAUUAAUAGGACCCAUGAUUCCAAUAACUCGUGCCAGUAACGUUGCUGGUGAAUCAUUUUGGAAGAGUACAUUUCCAGUGCAAAGUUCGGCCAAGAUGCAGCCAAGUGACCAGAUAUCUAUCUUUUUAUCAUAUGGAAGCCCCAAGAUGACUUCUGGUGCACGAUAGGAUCUGGAUUGAAC
This 831-nucleotide unclassified non-coding RNA is filed under the name Hevea brasiliensis (rubber tree). Lineage: Eukaryota; Viridiplantae; Streptophyta; Magnoliopsida; Malpighiales; Euphorbiaceae. The record is from RNAcentral.